AAUGAACGUUGGCGGCGUGGAUUAGGCAUGCAAGUCGAACGGGCCGCAAGGCCAGUGGCGCAAGGGUGAGUAAGGCGACGGCAACCAACCCCGCGGUCGGGCAUAGCCGAGGGAAACCUCGGGUAAUUCCCGGCGACGCGAGGAGUCGGCAUCGACUCCUCGCCAAAGCUCCGGCGCCGCGGGACGGGCCGUCGUGGUAUUAGGUAGUUGGCGGGGUAACGGCCCACCAAGCCUCCGAUGCCUACCGGGCGUGCGAGCGUGGCCCGGCACACUGGGACUGAGACACUGCCCAGACUCCUACGGGAGGCUGCAGUCGAGAAUCUUCGGCAAUGGGCGCAAGCCUGACCGAGCGACGCCGCGUGGAGGACGAAGGCCUUCGGGUUGUAAACUCCUGUCGAGGGGGAGGAAGGCGGUGAUGAGCCGCUUGACCGAUCCCUGGAGGAAGCACGGGCUAAGUUCGUGCCAGCCGCCGC
Molecule: ribosomal RNA, 473 nt
Filed under: uncultured bacterium
Lineage: Bacteria
Description: bacterial SSU rRNA
Rfam family: Bacterial small subunit ribosomal RNA
Source: RNAcentral